GCCUGGGUGGCUCAGUUGGUUGAGCAUCUGACUUCAGCUCAGGUCACGAUCUCACAGCUCGUGAGUUCCAGCCGCGCAUCAGGCU
This 85-nucleotide transfer RNA is filed under the name Felis catus (domestic cat). It matches the Rfam family "tRNA". Rfam says of the family: Transfer RNA (tRNA) molecules are approximately 80 nucleotides in length. Their secondary structure includes four short double-helical elements and three loops (D, anti-codon, and T loops). The record is from Rfam by way of RNAcentral. Lineage: Eukaryota; Metazoa; Chordata; Mammalia; Carnivora; Felidae.